CAGAACGAACGCUGGCGGCGUGCUUAACACAUGCAAGUCGCGUGCGCAGUUUCCUGUAGCAAUACAGGGGAUGGGCGCACGGCGCACGGGUGCGUAACACGUGGGCAAUCUGCCCUCCGAUGGGGAAUAACCCCCGCGAAAGCGGGGCUAAUACCGCAUAACAUUCCUUGAGCGAUGGUUUGAGGAUUCAAAGCAGUAAUGCGUCGGAGGAGGAGCCCGCGCCCGAUUAGCUAGUUGGUGAGGUAACGGCUCACCAAGGCAAUGAUCGGUAGCUGGUCUGAGAGGAUGAUCAGCCACACUGGAACUGAGACACGGUCCAGACUCCUACGGGAGGCAGCAGUGGGGAAUCUUGCACAAUGGGCGAAAGCCUGAUGCAAGCGACGCCGCGUGGGGGAUGAAGCUUCUCGGAGUGUAAACCCCUUUCGCCUGGGACGAAUGCCCGCAAGGGAGUGACGGUACCAGGAUAAGAAGCCCCGGCUAACUACGUGCCAGCCGCCGC
RNAcentral lists this ribosomal RNA (499 nucleotides) under uncultured bacterium. Its description in RNAcentral is "bacterial SSU rRNA". It matches the Rfam family "Bacterial small subunit ribosomal RNA", at positions 25 to 518 of the family's 1533-position model. The record is from RNAcentral.